Molecule: transfer RNA, 72 nt
Filed under: Pectinophora gossypiella (pink bollworm)
Lineage: Eukaryota; Metazoa; Arthropoda; Insecta; Lepidoptera; Gelechiidae
Description: transfer RNA valine (anticodon AAC)
Rfam family: tRNA
About the family: Transfer RNA (tRNA) molecules are approximately 80 nucleotides in length.
Source: RNAcentral
GCCUCUGUGGUUCAGUGGUUGAGCGUUGGGCUAACGAUCCGGAGGUCCCGGGUUGAAAUCCCGGUUGGGACA